GCCGGGCGAGGUGGCAGGCGCCUGUAGUCCCAGCUACUUCGGAGGCUGAGGCAGGAGAAUGGCGUGAACCUGGGAGGCGGAGCUUGCAGUGAGCCGAGAUCCGGCCACUGAGAUAGCAUCUUGCUUUAUCACCCAUGCUGGAGUGCAGUGGUGCAAUCUCGGCUCACUGCAAGCUCCGCCUCCCAGGUUCACGCCAUUCUCCUGCCUCAG
RNAcentral lists this signal recognition particle RNA (210 nucleotides) under Chlorocebus sabaeus (green monkey). RNAcentral describes it as "Metazoan signal recognition particle RNA". It matches the Rfam family "Metazoan signal recognition particle RNA". Rfam says of the family: The signal recognition particle (SRP) is a universally conserved ribonucleoprotein. It is involved in the co-translational targeting of proteins to membranes. The record is from Rfam by way of RNAcentral. Lineage: Eukaryota; Metazoa; Chordata; Mammalia; Primates; Cercopithecidae.